AACGAACGCUGGCGGCAUGCCUAACACAUGCCAGUCGAACGAGACCUUCGGGUCUCGUGGCGCACGGGUGCGUACCGCGUGGGAACCUGCCCUUAGGUUCGGAAUAACUCCCCGAAAGGGGUGCUAAUACCGCAUAGUGUCUUCGGACCAAAGAUUUAUCGCCUUUGGAUGGGCCCGCGUUGGAUUAGCUAGUUGGUAGGGUAAAGGCCUAUCAAGGCGACGAUCCAUAGCUGGUCUGAGAGGAUGAUCAGCCACACUGGGACUGAGACACGGCCCAGACUCCUACGGGAGGGAGCAGUGGGGAAUAUUGGACAAGGGGCGAAAGCCUGAUCCAGCAAGGCCGCGGGAGUGAUGAAGGCCUUAGGGUUGUAAAGCUCUUUUAGCCGGGAUGAUAAUGACGGUACCGGGAGAAUAAGCACCGGCUAACUACGUG
RNAcentral lists this ribosomal RNA (433 nucleotides) under uncultured bacterium. RNAcentral's name for it is "partial 16S ribosomal RNA". It matches the Rfam family "Bacterial small subunit ribosomal RNA", at positions 29 to 507 of the family's 1533-position model. The record is from RNAcentral.